CAUGACCCCCAGAUCAGACGGAGACCACCCGCU
Molecule: ribosomal RNA, 33 nt
Filed under: Allium oleraceum
Lineage: Eukaryota; Viridiplantae; Streptophyta; Magnoliopsida; Asparagales; Amaryllidaceae
Description: partial large subunit ribosomal RNA
Source: RNAcentral